Molecule: unclassified non-coding RNA, 1379 nt
Filed under: Hevea brasiliensis (rubber tree)
Lineage: Eukaryota; Viridiplantae; Streptophyta; Magnoliopsida; Malpighiales; Euphorbiaceae
Source: RNAcentral
GCAACAGCAACUUCAACAACAAAACCAGCAAUCAUUUCUACCUGCAGCUUUCCUUUGAUCUUUGAAACCUACUUUUAGAAACUAUACUGUUUUCUCCGCCAAACCUCGUGCUAGCUAACUUCAACACUAGUCUUGAAUCAUGCAGAACUUGUUUCGCAUAGCUGAUCAUGAAGAUUUCUUCUCCCGUCCAUGCAUUUGGGUUAAUGGUCCAGUGAUAGUAGGUGCCGGACCAUCAGGGCUCGCAACGGCAGCUUGCCUUAGAAAGCAGGGUGUACCCUUCGUUGUCCUCGACAGAGAAGAAUGUAUAGCCUCUCUGUGGCAAAAACGCACAUAUGACAGGCUUAAACUUCACUUACCUAAACAAUUCUGCCAGCUCCCUAAACUCCCAUUCCCUGAGGAUUUCCCUGAGUACCCUACCAAGAAACAGUUUAUUGAGUACCUCGAGUCAUAUGCCAAGCACUUCGAGAUCAACCCAAGAUUCAAUGAGUGUGUACAAUCAGCUAGGUACGAUGAGACCAGUGGCUUGUGGAGGGUCAAGACCGUUUCCACAAAUGGCUCCACUCGUACUGAGGUUGAGUACAUUUGCCGGUGGCUAGUGGUGGCUACCGGCGAGAAUGCAGAGUGUGUAAUGCCUGAUAUUGAAGGAUUGAACGAGUUCGGAGGUGAUGUUACUCAUGCUUGUUCUUAUAAAUCCGGUAAGAAAUUUCGUGGCAAGAAAGUGUUAGUUGUGGGAUGUGGAAAUUCCGGCAUGGAAAUUUCUCUUGAUCUUUGCAACCACAAUGCCUCUCCAUCAAUUGUGGUUCGAAGCACGGUACAUGUAUUGCCUAGAGAAAUUUUUGGCAAAUCAACCUUUGAAUUGGCUGUUAUGUUAAUGAGAUGGCUACCAAUUUGGCUGGUUGAUAAGCUUUUGUUGCUUUUGGCAUGGAUAUUACUUGGAAACAUUCAGAAAUAUGGGCUGAAGAGGCCAUCCAUGGGUCCAUUGCAGGUUAAGAACAUCAUGGGAAAGACACCUGUAUUGGACAUUGGUGCAUUGAAGAAAAUCAGAUCUGGAGAUAUUAAGGUGGUUCCUGGAAUCAAAAGGUUUUCUCGUGGACAAGUUGAACUUGUUAAUGGUGAAACCCUUGAUAUUGAUUCAAUUGUUUUGGCUACUGGAUACCGCAGCAAUGUCCCUUCUUGGCUUCAGGAAGGCGAAUUCUUCUCCAAGAAUGGGUUCCCAAAGGCACCAUUCCCUAAUGGAUGGAAAGGAAAUGCUGGGCUCUAUGCAGUUGGGUUCACAAGGAGAGGGCUCUCUGGUGCAUCCUGUGAUGCCAUGAGAAUAGCACAAGACAUUGGCAAGGUCUGGAAGGAUGAAACUAAGCAGCAUAAGAAUAGCACAAGAU